CAAGAGAUGAGUUGUCUUUGCAGAUGGGGCGUCCUUACUCCCAGUCUUUCCAGAUGUUCUUCCCACUCCUCAACUGCUCCUGGCUCAGAAACCCUGCACACCUGGAAGAAAGUGAGAACCAGUUUUUCAACAAACACAUUGCACAGACUUAUUGUGAACCCCGGGUGGAAUCAAGCAUCGGAGGAAGAGAACGUGGGUCUUGCUGUGUCCCUAGGCUGGAGUGCAGUGGUGCAGUCUCAAUUAUGCCAGAUGGCUCUGAGGUCCAAGUAAAAGAUAAUAUUUGCAACCAACUCACUGGAGUUGACCAUCAAAACUCUUUUCCAGGUGGAAAAGCACCCUGAAUCCAGCUUCCUGCUAUGAAUGAAUACUGAGCUUGGGUUGGUGGAAAUUGAUUUUCGAGAUAAAGAAUCCAGCCAGGACUGUGAAGCCCCAGGGAAUGGCUGCACUUCAAGUCAGAAGGAGCCUGGGUCCCUGAAUCAUCAUGUGGAAGGCUCUCCACCCAGUUCAAUGGUGCAAUGGACCACAAGCAGGAACUUAAUUUAGAAUGUGCUUAUUUUGUUAGAUUUUGUAAUUAAAAAAUGGAUCCCACUCUGACUGAAUCAGAGAUGUUGAAGUCAUUGAUCUGGGAGGGUAUGUUCCUGGGAGUGGGUGGCUGAGGUGAGAUUUCAAACAAGGUUGUUGAGGAAGAGGAGUUCAAGUGACUGAGAGGACAUAUUGUUGGAUAAAUUGUGCGUGCGUGUGUGUGUGUGUGUGUGUGUGUGUUGAAAUCACCAAGAAUAGGGAAAGAAGUGUAUAAGAGAGUGUGGCAGUGAGCCCAGAGCUAAAAGAAAUCAUGAGCAGGGAGUAAUUCACGAGCAGAAAGUAGAAGCAACGAGAGGCAGUUAAUGAGAGAAGCAGCUGAGGGAUUUUAGCAAGGGAUGGG
Molecule: long non-coding RNA, 922 nt
Filed under: Homo sapiens (human)
Lineage: Eukaryota; Metazoa; Chordata; Mammalia; Primates; Hominidae
Description: HSALNT0210880
Source: RNAcentral